Molecule: ribosomal RNA, 467 nt
Filed under: uncultured bacterium
Lineage: Bacteria
Description: partial 16S ribosomal RNA
Rfam family: Bacterial small subunit ribosomal RNA
Source: RNAcentral
GACGAACGCUGGCGGCGUGCUUAACACAUGCAAGUCGAACGGGAAGGCCUCUUUCGGGGGGUACUCGAGUGGCGAACGGGUGAGUAACACGUGAGUAACCUGCCCUUGACUUUGGGAUAACUUCAGGAAACUGGGGCUAAUACCGGAUAGGAGCUCCUGCUGCAUGGUGGGGGUUGGAAAGUUUCGGCGGUUGGGGAUGGACUCGCGGCUUAUCAGCUUGUUGGUGGGGUAGUGGCUUACCAAGGCUUUGACGGGUAGCCGGCCUGAGAGGGUGACCGGCCACAUUGGGACUGAGAUACGGCCCAGACUCCUACGGGAGGCAGCAGUGGGGAAUAUUGCACAAUGGGUGGAAGCCUGAUGCAGCAACGCCGUGUGCGGGAUGACGGCCUUCGGGUUGGAAACCGCUUUCGCUCAUGACGAAGCUUUGUGUGACGGUAGUGGGUAAAGAAGCACCGGCUAACUACGUG